Molecule: ribosomal RNA, 253 nt
Filed under: uncultured bacterium
Lineage: Bacteria
Description: partial 16S ribosomal RNA
Rfam family: Bacterial small subunit ribosomal RNA
Source: RNAcentral
UACGAAGGGGGCUAGCGUUGCUCGGAAUCACUGGGCGUAAAGGGUGCGCAGGCGGGUCUUUAAGUCAGGGGUGAAAUCCUGGAGCUCAACUCCAGAACUGCCUUUGAUACUGAAGAUCUUGAGUUCGGGAGAGGUGAGUGGAACUGCGAGUGUAGAGGUGAAAUUCGUAGAUAUUCGCAAGAACACCAGUGGCGAAGGCGGCCGACUGGACCAUUACUGACGCUGAGGCGCGAAAGCGUGGGGAGCAAACAGG